AUUGAACGCUGGCGGAAUGCUUUACACAUGCAAGUCGAACGGCAGCACGGGGGCAACCCUGGUGGCGAGUGGCGAACGGGUGAGUAAUACAUCGGAACGUGCCCAGUCGUGGGGGAUAACGUAGCGAAAGCUACGCUAAUACCGCAUACGAUCUACGGAUGAAAGCGGGGGAUCGCAAGACCUCGCGCGAUUGGAGCGGCCGAUGGCAGAUUAGGUAGUUGGUGGGGUAAAGGCUCACCAAGCCGACGAUCUGUAGCUGGUCUGAGAGGACGACCAGCCACACUGGGACUGAGACACGGCCCAGACUCCUACGGGAGGCAGCAGUGGGGAAUUUUGGACAAUGGGCGCAAGCCUGAUCCAGCCAUUCCGCGUGCAGGAUGAAGGCCUUCGGGUUGUAAACUGCUUUUGUACGGAACGAAACGGCCUUUUCUAAUACAAGAGGCUAAUGACGGUACCGUAAGAAUAAGCACCGGCUAACUACGUG
RNAcentral lists this ribosomal RNA (484 nucleotides) under uncultured bacterium. RNAcentral describes it as "bacterial SSU rRNA". It matches the Rfam family "Bacterial small subunit ribosomal RNA", at positions 30 to 507 of the family's 1533-position model. The record is from RNAcentral.